CCGUGCUAGGUGGGGAGGUAGCGGUGCCCUGUUGCUCGCAAUCCGCUAUAGCGGGACUGAAUCCCUGCUCCAGGCUCCCCGGUUGUGAGGUCGGUUGUUGCGCAAGUGGUGUUGAAGGUCGGGUCCUGCGCAACGGAAACUCGUGAACCCCGUCAGGUCCGGGAGGAAGCAGCGGUAAACGGGCUAUUCCGUGUGCCGUGGGGAAGCCUGGCUGGAGCUAACUACGUAGCAGCGCUUGGGGCCGGAUGUCAAAAGCAGGUGCACGG
This 266-nucleotide signal recognition particle RNA is filed under the name Candidatus Aquicultor secundus. RNAcentral describes it as "Actinobacteria bacterium CG17_big_fil_post_rev_8_21_14_2_50_50_24 signal recognition particle sRNA large type". It matches the Rfam family "Bacterial large signal recognition particle RNA". Rfam says of the family: The signal recognition particle (SRP) is a universally conserved ribonucleoprotein involved in the co-translational targeting of proteins to membranes. The record is from RNAcentral. Lineage: Bacteria; Bacillati; Actinomycetota; Candidatus Aquicultoria; Candidatus Aquicultorales; Candidatus Aquicultoraceae.